This 977-nucleotide long non-coding RNA is filed under the name Castor canadensis (American beaver). RNAcentral's name for it is "lncRNA (ENSCCNG00000017845.1)". Lineage: Eukaryota; Metazoa; Chordata; Mammalia; Rodentia; Castoridae. The record is from RNAcentral.
AACUGUAGGGGCGUCCGCCGCGCUCUCCCACCUCUGGGUAAGGCGAAGAAUGCAACGCAGUUUCCCACCGCGAUGUGGAGCCAAACAUCAGGGCCCGUGCCUCGGGGAGCACAAACCCAAGUGACCCGGAAUGAGAUGACAUGGACUUCAUGAAAGAAGUUACAUGAGUUAUCACAAAACAAAGCAGGUGGAGUCUUCGGUGGGCGGAUUUUGUUGUCUUUAACAAGUUCUUUUUUAGAUAGGGUCUCGAGUUUUUGUGCAAGUCCAGCCUUUGACCUCGAUCCUUCUCCCUGUGUCUCCCAGCAACUGGAACCACAGAACACAAAUUUCUACGACGGCAGAACUGAAUUUGACGAUCACAAUCGGGACCUUCGUGCAAAUCCCAAUGCUAGGGGUAGAGCAGAGCACAAAAAAUAUUUGGAAUGGAACGAACUCCGAUUUCAUCUUUGCCCUAAAGUAAGGUUGUAACUAAAAAAAUAAUUUUUUUUCGGAUCUUAAGUCCUUCAAAUAACACUUGGGCAGGUGGGAAGAUCCCUAUUUUUGUUUGGUUAACCUUUUAGCACCAGGGAUGAAACUCCGACUUCCUCUUAAAGUGACAACAUAGCUCUUUUUUCAAACGAAGGACAUAAGUCAAGGCCAAAGGCAAAAAAAAAAAAGCGCAGAGAUGUUCGCCACAGACACACCGCUGGCUUUUAAUACGGGACCAAAUUCAAAGAGAUGGGAAAGCCGUAUAAAUCCCCAUGAGACCUUCCUUCCUCCCCAGGUCCCUAGCUACUGACCCAGAGCCUGCCUCCAUAGUUCCCCGGGGGCCGGGCGGGCGUCCAGGUGGAGCCCGCGGAGACCGACCAGCUGCACAAGAACUCAGGCCUUCAGGGCCUGCACCCCCAUAAAUGCAGAACCCUUGCAUCUGCUGACAUUUUAGCUCCCAGAAAGAGGUGGGACUUGAGCUGAGCAAGCAAACAUGAAGAGAUUACAUC